CGUCUAUAUACGUAUAGCAUAUCAAUAAGCGGAGGAAAAGAAACUAACAAGGAUUCCCUUAGUAACGGCGAGUGAAGCGGGAAGAGCUCAAAUUUGAAAUCUUCAAGGUUCUACCUUGACGAAUUGUAGUUUAUAGAAGUGUUUUCUGUUAGUAGAGUGGCAAAAGUUCUUUGGAAUAGGACAUCAUAGAGGGUGAGAAUCCCGUAUUUGGUCAUUCUUUCUAGCUUUGUGAUACACUUUCAACGAGUCGGAUUGUUUGGGAAUGCAGUCCAAAAUGGGUGGUAAAUUUCAUCUAAAGCUAAAUAUUGGCGAGAGACCGAUAGCGAACAAGUACCGUGAGGGAAAGAUGAAAAGAACUUUGAAAAGAGAGUUAAACAGUACGUGAAAUUGUCAAAAGGGAAGCGUUUGACACCAGUGUUGUUUUUCCGAAAAUCAAUUACGGAAUGUUUUAUUUUUGAGAAGUUAUGACUUCAUCGGCUUGCUUCUCUCUUUAUGAAACUUUCUUAAUGCACUUUUCGGUUAACAAGUCAACAUCAAUUUCUUUUGUUGUAAAAGGGUAUGAGGAAGGUGGCUUUCUUUUCGGAGAAAGUGUUUAUAGCCUUGUACCUCUGCAAUCGGAGAGAUUGAGGUCUGCAGCGUAGAUCCUUCGGGGUUAGAUACAUUUGUGCUAAGUUAUAGCUCUUCAUAGACAACUUGUUGACUAUGUUUAGUCUUGUAGCUUACUCGCUUAUGCUAUUUUACCUACGCUUAGGAUGUUGAUAUGCAUGACUGAUAU
RNAcentral lists this ribosomal RNA (775 nucleotides) under uncultured Neocallimastigales. RNAcentral's name for it is "partial large subunit ribosomal RNA". It matches the Rfam family "Eukaryotic large subunit ribosomal RNA", at positions 26 to 640 of the family's 3401-position model. The record is from RNAcentral. Lineage: Eukaryota; Fungi; Neocallimastigomycota; Neocallimastigomycetes; Neocallimastigales.